AGGAGUGUAGCUCAGCUGGUAGAGCAUCGGUCUCCAAAACCGAGGGUCGGGGGUUCGAGUCCCUCCACUCCUGCCA
This 76-nucleotide transfer RNA is filed under the name Alphaproteobacteria bacterium. RNAcentral's name for it is "tRNA-Trp". It matches the Rfam family "tRNA". Rfam says of the family: Transfer RNA (tRNA) molecules are approximately 80 nucleotides in length. Their secondary structure includes four short double-helical elements and three loops (D, anti-codon, and T loops). The record is from RNAcentral. Lineage: Bacteria; Pseudomonadati; Pseudomonadota; Alphaproteobacteria. RNAcentral also lists the same sequence under 5 other names.